RNAcentral lists this small RNA (88 nucleotides) under Ligilactobacillus apodemi DSM 16634 = JCM 16172. RNAcentral describes it as "Lactobacillus apodemi DSM 16634 = JCM 16172 RNA anti-toxin A". It matches the Rfam family "RNA anti-toxin A". The record is from Rfam by way of RNAcentral. Lineage: Bacteria; Bacillati; Bacillota; Bacilli; Lactobacillales; Lactobacillaceae.
UAAUGAUAAAAGAAAAGAGAUAGUGCUACCAACACCAUCUCCUGUGGAAACCGUUAAAGACGGUGACUUUUAGACAGUUUAUUAAAUA